This 484-nucleotide ribosomal RNA is filed under the name uncultured bacterium. Its description in RNAcentral is "partial 16S ribosomal RNA". It matches the Rfam family "Bacterial small subunit ribosomal RNA", at positions 30 to 507 of the family's 1533-position model. The record is from RNAcentral.
AUUGAACGCUAGCGGGAUGCUUUACACAUGCAAGUCGAACGGCAGCGCGGACUUCGGUCUGGCGGCGAGUGGCGAACGGGUGAGUAAUGUAUCGGAACGUGCCCAGUAGCGGGGGAUAACUACGCGAAAGCGUAGCUAAUACCGCAUACGCCCUACGGGGGAAAGCAGGGGAUCGUAAGACCUUGCACUAUUGGAGCGGCCGAUAUCGGAUUAGCUAGUUGGUGAGGUAACGGCUCACCAAGGCGACGAUCCGUAGCUGGUUUGAGAGGACGACCAGCCACACUGGGACUGAGACACGGCCCAGACUCCUACGGGAGGCAGCAGUGGGGAAUUUUGGACAAUGGGGGCAACCCUGAUCCAGCCAUCCCGCGUGUGAGAUGAAGGCCUUCGGGUUGUAAAGCACUUUUGGCAGGAAAGAAACGUCGCGGGCUAAAACCCCGUGGAACUGACGGUACCUGCAGAAUAAGCACCGGCUAACUACGUG